CAAGUCGAACGGUGAAGGUGGGAGCUUGCUCCUGCUGGAUCAGUGGCGAACGGGUGAGUAACACGUGAGUAACCUGCCCUUGACUCUGGGAUAAGCGUUGGAAACGACGUCUAAUACCGGAUACGAGCUUCAGCCGCAUGGCUAGGAGUUGGAAAGAAUUUCGGUCAAGGAUGGACUCGCGGCCUAUCAGCUUGUUGGUGAGGUAAUGGCUCACCAAGGCGACGACGGGUAGCCGGCCUGAGAGGGUGACCGGCCACACUGGGACUGAGACACGGCCCAGACUCCUACGGGAGGCAGCAGUGGGGAAUAUUGCACAAUGGGCGCAAGCCUGAUGCAGCAACGCCGCGUGAGGGACGACGGCCUUCGGGUUGUAAACCUCUUUUAGCAGGGAAGAAGCGAAAGUGACGGUACCUGCAGAAAAAGCACCGGCUAACUACGUGCCAGCAGCCGCGGUAAUACGUAGGGUGCAAGCGUUGUCCGGAAUUAUUGGGCGUAAAGAGCUCGUAGGCGGUUUGUCGCGUCUGCUGUGAAAACGCGAGGCUCAACCUCGCGCCUGCAGUGGGUACGGGCAGACUAGAGUGCGGUAGGGGAGAUUGGAAUUCCUGGUGUAGCGGUGGAAUGCGCAGAUAUCAGGAGGAACACCGAUGGCGAAGGCAGAUCUCUGGGCCGUAACUGACGCUGAGGAGCGAAAGCGUGGGGAGCGAACAGGAUUAGAUACCCUGGUAGUCCACGCCGUAAACGUUGGGAACUAGAUGUAGGGACCAUUCCACGGUUUCUGUGUCGCAGCUAACGCAUUAAGUUCCCCGCCUGGGGAG
Molecule: ribosomal RNA, 815 nt
Filed under: Herbiconiux sp. HCA2-13_Pa
Lineage: Bacteria; Bacillati; Actinomycetota; Actinomycetes; Micrococcales; Microbacteriaceae
Description: bacterial SSU rRNA
Rfam family: Bacterial small subunit ribosomal RNA
Source: RNAcentral